Molecule: unclassified non-coding RNA, 421 nt
Filed under: uncultured cyanobacterium
Lineage: Bacteria; Bacillati; Cyanobacteriota
Description: partial contains 16S ribosomal RNA, 16S-23S ribosomal RNA intergenic spacer, and 23S ribosomal RNA
Rfam family: Bacterial small subunit ribosomal RNA (bases 1-119)
Source: RNAcentral
UCACGCCCGAAGUCAUUACCCCAACCUUUUGGAGGGGGAUGCCUAAGGUAGGACUGGUGACUGGGGUGAAGUCGUAACAAGGUAGCCGUACCGGAAGGUGUGGCUGGAUCACCUCCUUUUUAGGGAGACCUAAUCCACUCAGCCAUCGAAAACAAAACGUGAUUAGAUACUGAAUUGGUCAUCACCUAGGUCGUUCGAGAUUGGUUAAAAUCUUUCAAAGUAUUAUCAUUUCGGUUUAUUAAAUACCUUAUCAACUCGGAAAGAAACAGCACCUGACAGGAGUCAGAAUGCUGGUUUAAGACCAGCCAGAACCUUGAAAACUGCAUAAGAGAAAGAAAAAACCAGACAAGUCAGUAGAUUUGUCGGAAGAUUUGUGGUCAAGCGAAUAAGGGCUAAUGGUGGAUACCUAGGCACACAGAGG